AGUAACGCGUGGGUAACCUGCCUCAUACAGGGGGAUAACAGUCAGAAAUGGCUGCUAAUACCGCAUAAGCGCACAGAGCUGCAUGGCUCAGUGUGAAAAACUCCGGUGGUAUAAGAUGGACCCGCGUUGGAUUAGCUAGUUGGUGGGGUAACGGCCCACCAAGGCGACGAUCAGUAGCCGGUCUGAGAGGAUGAACGGCCACACUGGAACUGAGACACGGUCCAGACUCCUACGGGAGGCAGCAUG
RNAcentral lists this ribosomal RNA (246 nucleotides) under uncultured bacterium. Its description in RNAcentral is "partial 16S ribosomal RNA". It matches the Rfam family "Bacterial small subunit ribosomal RNA", at positions 109 to 353 of the family's 1533-position model. The record is from RNAcentral.